Molecule: small RNA, 28 nt
Filed under: Bombyx mori (domestic silkworm)
Lineage: Eukaryota; Metazoa; Arthropoda; Insecta; Lepidoptera; Bombycidae
Description: piRNA piR-bmo-2005681
Source: RNAcentral
UAAUGAGUGUCGUGAAUUACUCCUGCGU